Molecule: ribosomal RNA, 506 nt
Filed under: uncultured bacterium
Lineage: Bacteria
Description: partial 16S ribosomal RNA
Rfam family: Bacterial small subunit ribosomal RNA
Source: RNAcentral
GGUGAGCGCUGGCGGUAGGCCUAACACAUGCAAGUCGAACGGCAGCACAGGAGAGCUUGCUCUCUGGGUGGCGAGUGGCGGACGGGUGGGGAAUACAUCGGAAUCUACUCUGUCGUGGGGGAUAACGUAGGGAAACUUACGCUAAUACCGCAUACGACCUACGGGUGAAAGCAGGGGACCUUCAAGCCUUGCGCGAUUGAAUGAGCCGAUGUCGGAUUAGCUAGUUGGCGGGGUAAAGGCCCACCAAGGCGACGAUCCGUAGCUGGUCUGAGAGGAUGAUCAGCCACACUGGAACUGAGACACGGUCCAGACUCCUACGGGAGGCAGCAGUGGGGAAUAUUGGACAAUGGGCGCAAGCCUGAUCCAGCCAUACCGCGUGGGUGAAGAAGGCCUUCGGGUUGUAAAGCCCUUUUGUUGGGAAAGAAAUCCAGCUGGCUAGUACCCGGUUGGGAUGACGGUACCCAAAGAAUAAGCACCGGCUAACUUCGUGCCAGCCGCCGCAGUAA